Populus trichocarpa (black cottonwood) is the source of this 6566-nucleotide RNA transcript. It is a transcript of the gene named helicase protein MOM1-like, with no coding region annotated. The transcript has 18 exons. The record is from RefSeq and is a predicted model, not a curated record. NCBI's taxonomy places the organism in Eukaryota, Viridiplantae, Streptophyta, Magnoliopsida, Malpighiales, Salicaceae.
ACACACUCAUAUGUUUCACUCUCAGGACACUAAAAAUCUCACUCUCAUGAUUCUCACACGGAUAAAUUGGAAUUCUAAUCGCACUAAUCCCUACUUCUUAUACUCCUCCUCUUAAAUUUCAUAAUCUAACUUCAGAAGAACGUAAUAUUUUCAGUGCAUUAGGGUUUCGUUAGGUAACGUUGGUGUGAUUGCUGAAGAUUUUGGAUGAGCGAGGCAGCUUAAAGGAUCCGGCCUAUUGGAGUGAUACGAGAUAUUGCGGCGAACAGCUUGAAGGAUGGCAAAUGAUACUAAAGCUAGUUGCAAAGCUAAGGAUGAGGAAACCAAUGGUUCAAAAAGGGAAAAACAUUGUUAGCAGAUCAUCAUCUAGUUCAGGUAGUGCGCCUGAUACAUCUGCUCUAAGAAGGUCAGCCAGAGAAACAUCAUCAAAGAAAAGCAUGGCUCCAAGCCCUUCAAGUACUAGGAAGUCUGAACGUCUUGAGAAUCGGACCCCUACAACUCCUGCAGUCAUGAGGAAAUCCGGGAGAGUUGAGAAGCAAAGCAUGUUGAGUCCUUUGAGAAGGUCUAAGAGGGGUAAGAAUCAGUCAUCAUCCAGUUCUUUUGGUUCAAAGAAGUCUGGUAAAAGCUUGGGCUCAUCAGUUAUGAAAAAAAAGCACAGGAAAGAGAAGAGUGUGAAACUGUUGACUCUUGAACCUAAUGAAAUCGGCUACAGUGAGAAACAUAUUAUCAAAGCUGUUCAGGUUGAAACAAAGAUAACUGAUGCUCGUGUUUACAGGUCAUUGUUCAAACAGCAACAAAAGAAAGCUAAUCUGGAAGGUUUUUGUGAGGAGACGAAGAACAAGAAGGCUAAGUCAUCUCAAGGAUAUUGCAGCAAUCUCAGAGCUAGUGCUUCUGAGAACGUUGAUGGGGGUGGUGACUGCAGUCAGAGGGAGGUAGAGGAAUUGAUUGAAGAGUGCAUUUUGAAAGAUUCUGAGAAAAAAAUGUUAGGAAAUUCCGUUUUGUCAGCUGGAGGUUCACCUGAGUUUGAUAAUAAUCAUCUGGACUUUGUCAACUAUCUUUUAGAGUGCUGGCACAGGGGAGAGAAUGUUGUUCUUAUUGAUGAUCAGGAACAAAUUGCAAAGGUGAUUUAUUUUAUUUUGUCAAUAUCAUCCAAUGCCACUUGGCCAUUUCUUAUCAUCACGACUUCUGCUGCACUUCAUUCAUGGGAAGAAGGGCUAUUUCGUUUGGCGCCAUCUCUAUAUGCUGUGGUUUAUCAUGGAAACAAAGACAUACGGAAAAGUAUUAGGACGUUGGAGUUUUACAGUGAAGGAGGUUGCAUUAUGUUUCAAAUACUUAUAACCUCACCAGAAGUUAUUAUCGAGGAUCUAAAUAUGCUUGAAUCAAUGAAAUGGGAAGCCAUAAUAGUUGAUGAGUGCCAACGCUCCAGAAUUUAUUCACAUUUUAAACAAAUUAAGCUGCUAAGCACUGCUAUGCGGCUUCUCCUUGUAAAUGGUCAGCUUAAGGAUGGCAUCACUGAGCACUUGCUGUCUCUGCUUGUUCAGCAGAGUGAUCCGGAUGGUAGUGAAUGCUUGGUGAUUGAUUCCAGCCAUAAGACUGGCAUUUUUAAGGAAAGGCUGUCACAAUACAUUGCAAAUGGUUGCAAACCAGAUUCCUCAAGGCUUAAAGAGUACUGGGUUCCUGUACAGUUAUCCAUCAUGCAGCUUGAGCAGUAUUGUGCCAUUCUACUUUUGAACUCCUUAUUACUUUGCUCAUCCUCAAAGAAUGAUCUUGCUGGUUCCCUACAUGAUAUUCUUAUUUCUGCUCGAAAGUGCUGUGAUCAUCCCUACAUCAUGGAUCCAUCGCUACAAAUUUCAUUAACAAAAGACAGUAAAGAAGCUGACAUUUUAGAUAUUGGAAUAAAAGCUAGUGGCAAGCUACAACUCCUGGAUGCAAUGCUUUUCAACAUAAAAGAGAGGGGAUUAAGAGUGCUAGUUCUUUUUCAGUCUAGUGGAGGUUCUGGAAAGGAUAAUGUUGGAGAUAUUUUAGAUGACUUUAUACGUCAAAGAUUUGGCAAGGGUUGUUAUGAACGUGUUGAUGGGCAUGUACUCCCUUCAAGGAAGCAAGCUGCUUUGAAAAACUUCAACAAUCUUCAGGAAGGGAGGUUUGUGUUCUUAUUAGAAACCCGUGCUUGUAGUCCCAGCAUAAAACUUUCAUCUGUGGAUACUGUUAUCAUAUUUGCCAGCGAUUGGAAGCCAAAUACUGAUAUAAGGAACCUGCAAAAAAUAACGCUUUAUUCAGAGUCUGAACAGAUAAAUAUAUUUCGUCUAUACUCUUCUUGUACUGUGGAAGAAAAAGUUUUAAUUGUUGCAAGGCAAGAUAAGACACUUGAUAGAAAUUUACAGAGGAUAAACCAGGGUGCUAGUCACAUGCUUCUGAUGUGGGGGGUUUCAUAUCUGUUUGACAAAUUGUCAGAGUUUAAUUGUGGCAAUGACCCUGCCUCCAGUGGAACAUUGUUGUCUGAGCAGUCACAUAUGAAAGAUGUUAUACAGGAGUUCUUAACCAUAGUAACUCAGAAGGGAAAAGACAAGAAUCUAAUUAACUCUAUAAUUUUGAAUGUUAAACAAAAUCAAGGAAGUUAUACUACUAAUCUUCCAUUGCAUGGUGAGCCAAAAAUUCAAUUGUUGGAUGAAGAGCUGCCUCAUGUAUUUUGGGAAAGGUUACUUAAGGGAAAACAGCCACAGUGGAAAUAUAGUUCUGGUUUGUUUCAGAGGAACAGAAAAAGGGUUCAAUAUUUUGAUGACACACAGAAGAACCCUGAAGUCGAGGCUGAUGAAGUUGUAAAGAAGCGCAAGAAAGUGGCCAUUGAUAACUCCAAUUCACCAUCUCUAAAAGCUGCUCCAAUAGGAACUUCUGGAGCUCCAGUGUGUAGCAUGUCUCAAUUCAUGCCAAGUUCAACUGGUUGUCUUACUACAACUGAUGCAAAUCAUGUUUCCAACUUCACCCAUUUGAAUAAUAAAUUAUCACUUCUACCAAAAGCUAAUACGGUUGAUUAUAAUGAAAGAAUGAAUUUACAUUAUUCUCGGAAGAGUCUCCAUCUCGUUUUGAAGCCAGAGAUAGAAAAACUUAGUGAAAUUUUACAACUCCCAGAGGAUGUCAAGGUCAUGGUUGACCAAUUUCUGGAAUAUGUACUGAAUAAUCACCAUGUCAGUAGAGAGCCAGCUAGCAUAUUGCAAGCAUUUUUGAUAUCCUUGUGUUGGACUGCAGCUUCCAUGAUUAAGUACAAACUUGAUCGCAAAGAAUCACUUGCACUGGCAAAACAGCAUUUGAACUUUUGCUGCACGAAGGAUGAGGCAGAUUUUGUUUAUUCAAAGUUGCGAUAUCUGAAGAAAGUAUUUCUUUAUCAUACAGGAAAUUUUAAGUUGGCUGGCUCUCCAAAAGCUGCAGAAUUUUCAACUAAAGAUCUCAGUACAAAUCAGUCAAAUGGAAGACCUUCACUGUCAACACCAUCUAACAUGCAAAAGGUUAGAAUAGAGGUUGAAAACCUGAGACCUAGUCAAGAAUUCUUCAUUGAUCAGGCCCUUUCCCAUCUAGGAUUGACACAGAAAGAUUACUCAGAAAACAUUGGAGAGAAAUGUGAUGAACAGAUGAACAAGCUAUUGCAGAGGCAACGAGAAGAAAGGGAAGAGUUCAAAAAAAAGUACGAGGAAGAAAAGGCAGAACUUGAGCUUAUGCAGAGAACAGAGGCAGCUGUUAUUCAUUUACACAGUAAUAGUUCAAUGAGAACAGAUAAACUCAAGGUACUGGAUAAUGUAUUUGCAAAAGAGUUCAGAGAGCUUAAACGGAAGAUGGAGAUACGCCUUAAUAAUGUUUUGGAAUUUCAACUGGCUACAAGGAACAAGUUGCAAGAGAGGAAGGCUCAUUGGAUUGGAGUGAAAUUGUCUGGAUUACUAAAUAAACCACUUGCAGAUGAGUCUGGAUAUGAUCAACAAAACGCUGCAACUUUGAAUUCUUGUUCCAAAGAACAGACUUCUGAACGAGCCCAAAGCAUGCCAGAUGGAGAGGUUCUAUUGGAAGCUCUUGAAACUGUGAGUUUGAAUGAGGAUGUAUUUUCUGGGGUAUUGUCUGCAUCUGAACCAAUGUUUGAUGGGGCUAGUUCCAGCAUGCUAGACAGAGAGGUUCCUUUGGAAAUGCCCCAGACUGCAAGUGUGAGGAAUAUUUCAGAGAAUAUUGUCUAUUUGAAUGCAUCUUCAGGUGAAGGACAAAUUCCUGUUACACAGGUUGCAGUGAGAGUCCUUGAGGCUAUCAGCUCUAGUGAUGGCCCAGAGAAUACCAUUCAUAAAUCAUCAUCUGAAAGUCGUAAUAGAGAUGCAUUAAUGGUGCCUGAUAGUGAAUUUCCCUUGGGAGUGACUGAGAUUGUCAGUUCCACUGGUGGCCUGGAGAAUGCUGCUUCUGCAAAUCCUUCACCAUCUGAAGGAUGUACUGUCAGAACAACUUCAUGCAUGGAUGGCAGAGAAGUUCUGUUGGAAGUGCCUGAAACCGCUUCUUUGGAAGCUGAGCAUGGUAACAGAGUUAUGGAGAAAGAUGGAAUAUCGGCUAUGGUAUCUGAUAAUGCCACUGAAGAAGAUCAGCAGAAUGGAUUGGUGUCUAUGCUUAAUCAAGAUUCUCAAUCUGAUAAUAUUAUUGCAGUCAACCAGCAAAAUGGAGAGGUUCUUUUAGGAGUGCCCCAAACCAAUGAAGUUGGCCUGCAGGAUGAGGAGGUUCCAUCAGGAGUUCAUGGAACUCCUGUAGAAGGGAGUGCUAGUAAUGGUGGAGAGAACACUGGUGUUUAUGUUACAGCCUUUUCUAUCGGUACUGGAGUUGAUCAGCUGGCUGGAGUGCUUCCAUCAGGAGGGUUUGAAACCGCUACUAGUGCAGAAUUGGAGGGUAGCCGCACUCAGCGAGAGAUUGACAGCAUACAUGCUGUAGCCUCAGAUACUAGUCAAUCAGCGGAAUCCUCUAGACUGCAAGAUGGAGUUGCACAAGUUUGUGAUAACCAGAUUGCUUUUCAACAAGUUGAUGCCUCAGCAUCCCAACCUCUUGUUGUAGCUUCUGGCCAAUCUCCUAAUGAUGCAUCUGUCACUGAGCAUCUGCUGGAAUUGUUACUAUCAACUGGCUCUCCUACUCCUAGUGGUUCACAGCCUGCAACUUCAUUUGCACAACUUUCACCUAUUGACUCGAUAGCUGUUGGUGGAUCAGGGAUGCAUAUUUCAAACAUGAGGGCUGCACCUGUUACCCCUGGAAUUAGUAAUCGUCCUGGAACUGCACUUGCUGUGCGAAUGCCUGUAUCUAUGUCUCAAGAUCCACUUCAAAAUGAGUUGGAUAGAUUAAGCAAAGAAACUGAAGAAAUCAUCAAGAUCCAUGAAGAUACAAAGCUGCAGUUGAAAUCUGAUUGCGAGAAGGAGAUAGUGGAGGUUGUAGCUCAAAUUCAUAAAAAACAUGAUAUUAAACUUCAGGAGAUAGAAUCUGAUUUCCAGUGUAAGAAGAAAGAGAUGAAUGACAAUCAAAACAAAGUUCUUAUGAACAAGAUAUUGGCUGAGGCUUUCAAGACCAAGUGCAUGGAUAGUAGGGCAUCUAGCACCCUUGGCAAGCAGCAAGAGAUCACCUCUAGUGCUGUGCAGCAGCUACUUCGGCAAUCUCAACCCACUGCUCAGAGGCCUCCUAUUGUUGCUUCAUCUGGUGUUUCUGCAGAUGGUCAUCAAACAAGUCCCUCACUUUCCCCUCCCUCCCCACCUCUAGAGGUUGUUCGUUGCUCAUCACUUUUAUCAGGCACCCCUACCAGACCACCACAUAUUGGUUCCAUCUCUCCUAUCACUAACAAUCUCCAACUUGGUAGUGGGAUUCGAGCUCCUGCCCCACACCUGCAACCUUUUAGACCUUCAGCAUCCAUAUCAACAACUGGUCUUUCUUCCUUUCUACAUGGGAUGCAAAGUCAACAAGUACCUUCAACUUCUCCCACGCUUUCUGAGAUUCCUUCACGAGCUCCAGCAUCUGUGCAACAAUCUGGUCCUCAGACGACGACAAAUUGUUGUGAAAGCAUGGGGGUCUCGCCUUCUAGCACAUAUCUCUCUGGACUUGAUUCGUUAAUGGAUGGAGGUUAUCAAACAAGUACAAAUGCAACUCAACCCUGCAGUUUUCCUCCAGUAACAAAUUUGAUUUCAAACCCAAACCAGUUGACCCAGCCAGAGCUUAGCAUGCUACAUAGUGUGAAUAGUGUGCUGACAAACCCAGCAAGUGAGGAAUUGCAGUUGUCUCCAAGCUUUUGUUAGUAGAGUUUCAUGCUGCCUAUAACUUUCAUCCUUAAAUCAUGGCACGCGUGUGUUGGGUAGCUGCUGCCUAAAAUCCUGAAAACCAUUCUCUUGGCUGCUGCGUUGUCAAUGAGGCAUUAUACUGUGACAAGAAAAGGUUGCAGUGUUGUUUAUUGUCCACCUCAGCCUACGGGACCUGUGCUGCUUGUUGGCUUUGGACUGUCCUUUCAAGCUUCCAGAGUUAUUUGUGGUCCAGCUCAGCCUACGAGAGUUGUUCUGUUGUUGGCUUUAGUAUGCCCUUUCAAG